This is a non-coding RNA of Triticum aestivum (bread wheat), 135 nucleotides long. The record is from Rfam. Lineage: Eukaryota; Viridiplantae; Streptophyta; Magnoliopsida; Poales; Poaceae.
CAUGUACUCCCUCCGUCCCAAAAUUCUUGUCUUAUAUUUGUCUAGAUAUGAAUGUAUCUAAUAUUAAAACGUGACUUGAUACAUCCAUCUCUAAACAAAUCUAAGAUAAGAAUUUUAGGACGGAGGGAGUAUGUA